CCUAAACCUGCCCUGUUCAGCACUCUGUUUAAGCCUCCACCGGGUUAUGCAAACCUCAGUGCUCCCCAAAGCAGACUGUGCAGCCUGUUUCUCCUUUGGCCUCUGAGGCUUGCUCUAAUGGGCAUGGUUGAGGAAAUAACCCCUUUCUUCUGUAAAAGCCAAAGGGUAUCAACCAGGAUAUGGCAUGAACCAAGCAAACAAAAUCACUAAGGAAGAAAUACGCUCACAUGUUCUCCUACAGAAGUGGAACUGCAGCAUGGCUGUACCUGCCCCUUGUCUCAGCCCUCGUGCCCUUCCCUUUCAGAUGUCCGUGCUCCUCCCAGCCAGCUGAUAGCCCCAGAUAAAACAACACAUGAUGUGGAAUCACCGCAGGACCCGUCUGGCAGCUCCAUCCUGCAGCUCCAUCCUUUGCCUCUCCCUGGGCAAACAUCCUCGACUCUCCGUCACACUAAAUAUGGACCUGCAAGAUCCCCACAGCAGGUGUGAGCAAAUGUGCUCUUCCCAUCCCCGGCUCUCCCCUUCCCCUGCCCAUCUCCAGAAUAAGAAGCAGCGGCUCCUGAUGUUCUCCUCCUAUCUGCUUUUACAUGUGGGCCGGGAGGUACAUCUCACUGCCCCGGGCAGCACUGGGGAGCCAGGCAGGACAGCAGGAUGUGAAUGUGGAGAAAUGCAGCAUCACCGAUCUCACAUUCCUCAGCGCUGCGGGAUGACCUGAGCCUGAGGGCAGCAAUGAGGGGAGCACAGCUCUGGAUGCCAUUCCUCACCCCACAAAGCCCUUCCAACCUUACAAUGACAACAGGAUCUUCCCGGGGAGGCACUGCCGGGAGAGGCUGACCACAAUCAGGGACUGAAAGCAGUGACUAUUUCUUUGACUCAGCCACCAUUCAUUCAAUGAAUGAAAUACAAUUUACCUGACUCACAGAAACACCACGCAACAAACUUAAUAACGAGCCACGAGACCCCACAGUGACCGGCACCGUUUGUCAGCUGACAUAAAGAGCUCUGCUCUGCGUCCCACAGCACUGCUAAACCCACAGCCUCACAGAGCUUUGGACCGGAAGAGACGUUCCCUCACCCCUCGCUCACACGGUUAACAUACAGAUGGCAUCGGGAGGCUUCGAGACAGUCACAUUUUAAGCGACGCUUUGUGAAAUUACAUCUAAAAAAGAAAAAUCUUUGCCCAAAGGGGGACGGAGGAGCUGAGGAAGGAAUAAAGCCGGAAUUCGGGGCACUGCUUUCUUCCAGCCCCAAUUACAGGGCUGGAUUCCGCGGCUAAUUAGAAUCAAAUGCUCCCAAUGAAUUCAGGGGAAGCAGCGCUACGCUCAACUCGGCCCGGAGGCUGCGGGGAGAGCGGGGCGGCACCGGGCGGCUCGGGGCGCACAGAGCACCGCAUUCCUCUCCCGGUAACGACCGACUGAAUAGCUAAAAAGCAGCGCAGGGAGCAAAAAUUCAGUGCGCCCCAACCGCAACGAGACUCCAUUACCCCCCGGAAUAAAAGGACCUUUGCGCUCAGCCGGGGCUUAAUUGCAGCCCCGCCGCCGGGAAUCCCCAUCAGCCCCAGCGGUACCGCACAGCGGAGCGUCCACGGCGCAUUACAACCGCGCAGCGCGGAGAACGGAGCCGCGAACCGAACCGCUCCGGGCGGCAGCGAAG
This is a long non-coding RNA of Gallus gallus (chicken), 1650 nucleotides long. The record is from Ensembl. NCBI's taxonomy places the organism in Eukaryota, Metazoa, Chordata, Aves, Galliformes, Phasianidae.